RNAcentral lists this transfer RNA (82 nucleotides) under Methylorubrum rhodinum. RNAcentral describes it as "tRNA-Gly". Lineage: Bacteria; Pseudomonadati; Pseudomonadota; Alphaproteobacteria; Hyphomicrobiales; Methylobacteriaceae. The record is from RNAcentral.
GCUGGUAUUCAGGGGCGAAAACCAGUCGAGGCACCAGCCUUCCAAGCUGAAUACGAGGGUUCGAUUCCCUUCACCCGCUCCA